UGCCCGGCGGCGCCGGAAGGGAUUAGUCGCCCUUCCGCCGCGGGGUCACGUGACGUCCCGUCGGCCCCGCAAGAUGGCGGCGCCCAUGUUGCUGCCCGAGUCCCCCCUGGGGAAGCUGAGAAGCUACAGAAAAAGAUGAAUCAGUGUCUGAGGAGGAAGAGGAGGAACUGGAAGAAGAGGAAGAAGAAGAAGAGGAGAAAAAGCUCGAGGCAGAAAGGUGAAACAGCUAGAAACUAGCAUAUGCUUAGUAGAUAGGUUUUUAGCCAAUUACAU
RNAcentral lists this long non-coding RNA (273 nucleotides) under Anas platyrhynchos (mallard). RNAcentral's name for it is "lncRNA (ENSAPLG00020016540.1)". Lineage: Eukaryota; Metazoa; Chordata; Aves; Anseriformes; Anatidae. The record is from RNAcentral.